RNAcentral lists this long non-coding RNA (707 nucleotides) under Marmota monax (woodchuck). Lineage: Eukaryota; Metazoa; Chordata; Mammalia; Rodentia; Sciuridae. The record is from RNAcentral.
GGGGCAUUGGGGUGUGGCCCCUGGGUAGGAUGCUUGCCCAACAUGCAGGAGACCCCAGGUUCCAUCUCCAACAUCACAACAAACAACAAAACUCCCACCUCACUGAAAAGUCAAGUGCAAUAAAGCAAGAAGCUGCUGCGGAACAGCUUGGCCGUUCCUUAGGAAGUUAAAUACAGAGUUAAUUUAGGACCAAGUAAUUCCACUCCUAGAUACAGAACCAGAGCAACCGAAGACACAUGUUCACGACAGCACCAUUUACAAUGGCUAAAAGGUUGAGUGAAACAAAUUCCUAGCAAUGAGGAAGUAAACUGUGGCAUAAUUUAUACUAUAGAAUAUUACUCAGCCCUAAAAAAGAGAGUGUAAUAUGGACACAUGCCACAUUGUGGGUGAACCUUGAAAACACCCUGAGUGCCAGGUACAGGGACACACACUAUAAUCCCAGCAGCUCCAGAGGCUGAGGCAGGAGGAUGGUGAGUUCAAAGCCAGCCUCAGCAACAACAAGGUGCUAAGCAACUCUUUAAGACUCUGUCUCUAAAUAAAAUACAAAACAGAUAAAACAGGCUCAGGGAGAUGGAAACAGGCUGGGGAUGGGCUCAGUCAUAAAGCACCACUGCAUUCAGUCCCUGGUUAAAAAAAAAAAAAAAAAAAAGAGUUCAAGUCCAGUCUGAGUCUCUGAAUGAAUAAAUAAAAAACAAAAAUUUUAAAAG